RNAcentral lists this ribosomal RNA (493 nucleotides) under uncultured Paenibacillaceae bacterium. RNAcentral's name for it is "bacterial SSU rRNA". It matches the Rfam family "Bacterial small subunit ribosomal RNA", at positions 8 to 492 of the family's 1533-position model. Lineage: Bacteria; Bacillati; Bacillota; Bacilli; Caryophanales; Paenibacillaceae. The record is from RNAcentral.
AGAGUUUGAUCAUGGCUCAGGACGAACGCUGGCGGCGUGCCUAAUACAUGCAAGUCGAGCGGAGUUAUCCUUCGGGAUAGCUUAGCGGCGGACGGGUGAGUAACACGUAGGCAACCUGCCUGCAAGACUGGGAUAACAUUCGGAAACGAAUGCUAAUACCGGAUACGCAGUUUCCCCGCAUGAGGGAACUGGGAGAGGCGGCGCAAGCUGCCACUUGCAGAUGGGCCUGCGGUGCAUUAGCUAGUUGGUGGGGUAACGGCUCACCAAGGCGACGAUGCAUAGCCGACCUGAGAGGGUGAUCGGCCACACUGGGACUGAGACACGGCCCAGACUCCUACGGGAGGCAGCAGUAGGGAAUCUUCCGCAAUGGACGAAAGUCUGACGGAGCAACGCCGCGUGAGUGAUGAAGGUUCUCGGAUCGUAAAGCUCUGUUGCCAGGGAAGAACAGCCAGGCGAGUAACUGCGCUUGGCGUGACGGUACCUAGAAGAAGCC